Molecule: ribosomal RNA, 467 nt
Filed under: uncultured bacterium
Lineage: Bacteria
Description: partial 16S ribosomal RNA
Rfam family: Bacterial small subunit ribosomal RNA
Source: RNAcentral
ACGAACGCUGGCGGCGUGCUUAACCCAUGCAAGUCGAACGAUGAUGCCAGCUUGCUGGUGGAUUAGUGGCGAACGGGUGAGUAACACGUGAGCAACCUGCCCCUGACUUCGGGAUAACCGCGGGAAACCGUGGCUAAUACCGGAUAUGACGCGCUAUCGCAUGGUGGUGUGUGGAAAGAUUUAUCGGUUGGGGAUGGGCUCGCGGCCUAUCAGCUUGUUGGUGGGGUGAUGGCCUACCAAGGCGACGACGGGUAGCCGGCCUGAGAGGGUGACCGGCCACACUGGGACUGAGACACGGCCCAGACUCCUACGGGAGGCAGCAGUGGGGAAUAUUGCACAAUGGGCGCAAGCCUGAUGCAGCGACGCCGCGUGAGGGAUGACGGCCUUCGGGUUGUAAACCUCUUUCAGUAGGGAAGAAGGCCUUCGGGUUGACGGUACCUGCAGAAGAAGCGCCGGCUAACUACGUG